Molecule: ribosomal RNA, 483 nt
Filed under: uncultured bacterium
Lineage: Bacteria
Description: partial 16S ribosomal RNA
Rfam family: Bacterial small subunit ribosomal RNA
Source: RNAcentral
AUUGAACGCUGGCGGCAGGCCUAACACAUGCAAGUCGAGCGGAUGAAGGGAGCUUGCUCCUGGAUUCAGCGGCGGACGGGUGAGUAAUGCCUAGGAAUCUGCCUGGUAGUGGGGGAUAACGUCCGGAAACGGGCGCUAAUACCGCAUACGUCCUGAGGGAGAAAGUGGGGGAUCUUCGGACCUCACGCUAUCAGAUGAGCCUAGGUCGGAUUAGCUAGUUGGUGGGGUAAAGGCCUACCAAGGCGACGAUCCGUAACUGGUCUGAGAGGAUGAUCAGUCACACUGGAACUGAGACACGGUCCAGACUCCUACGGGAGGCAGCAGUGGGGAAUAUUGGACAAUGGGCGAAAGCCUGAUCCAGCCAUGCCGCGUGUGUGAAGAAGGUCUUCGGAUGUAAAGCACUUUAAGUUGGGAGGAAGGGCAGUAAGUUAAUACCUUGCUGUUUUGACGUUACCAACAGAAUAAGCACCGGCUAACUUCGUG